This 1141-nucleotide ribosomal RNA is filed under the name Bifidobacterium pseudolongum. RNAcentral describes it as "bacterial SSU rRNA". It matches the Rfam family "Bacterial small subunit ribosomal RNA", at positions 44 to 1180 of the family's 1533-position model. Lineage: Bacteria; Bacillati; Actinomycetota; Actinomycetes; Bifidobacteriales; Bifidobacteriaceae. The record is from RNAcentral.
GUGCUUAACACAUGCAAGUCGAACGGGAUCCCUGGCAGCUUGCUGCCGGGGUGAGAGUGGCGAACGGGUGAGUAAUGCGUGACCGACCUGCCCCAUGCACCGGAAUAGCUCCUGGAAACGGGUGGUAAUGCCGGAUGUUCCACAUGAGCGCAUGCGAGUGUGGGAAAGGCUUUUUGCGGCAUGGGAUGGGGUCGCGUCCUAUCAGCUUGUUGGUGGGGUAACGGCCUACCAAGGCGUUGACGGGUAGCCGGCCUGAGAGGGCGACCGGCCACAUUGGGACUGAGAUACGGCCCAGACUCCUACGGGAGGCAGCAGUGGGGAAUAUUGCACAAUGGGCGCAAGCCUGAUGCAGCGACGCCGCGUGCGGGAUGGAGGCCUUCGGGUUGUAAACCGCUUUUGUUCAAGGGCAAGGCACGGUUUCGGCCGUGUUGAGUGGAUUGUUCGAAUAAGCACCGGCUAACUACGUGCCAGCAGCCGCGGUAAUACGUAGGGUGCAAGCGUUAUCCGGAUUUAUUGGGCGUAAAGGGCUCGUAGGCGGUUCGUCGCGUCCGGUGUGAAAGUCCAUCGCUUAACGGUGGAUCCGCGCCGGGUACGGGCGGGCUUGAGUGCGGUAGGGGAGACUGGAAUUCCCGGUGUAACGGUGGAAUGUGUAGAUAUCGGGAAGAACACCAAUGGCGAAGGCAGGUCUCUGGGCCGUUACUGACGCUGAGGAGCGAAAGCGUGGGGAGCGAACAGGAUUAGAUACCCUGGUAGUCCACGCCGUAAACGGUGGAUGCUGGAUGUGGGGCCCUUUUUCCGGGUCCUGUGUCGGAGCUAACGCGUUAAGCAUCCCGCCUGGGGAGUACGGCCGCAAGGCUAAAACUCAAAGAAAUUGACGGGGGCCCGCACAAGCGGCGGAGCAUGCGGAUUAAUUCGAUGCAACGCGAAGAACCUUACCUGGGCUUGACAUGUGCCGGACGCCCGCGGAGACGUGGGUUCCCUUCGGGGCCGGUUCACAGGUGGUGCAUGGUCGUCGUCAGCUCGUGUCGUGAGAUGUUGGGUUAAGUCCCGCAACGAGCGCAACCCUCGCCGCGUGUUGCCAGCGGGUCAUGCCGGGAACUCACGUGGGACCGCCGGGGUUAACUCGGAGGAAGGUGGGGAU